ACCUGCCCAAGAGACUGGGAUAACACCUGGAAACAGAUGCUAAUACCGGAUAACAACACUAGACGCAUGUCUAGAGUUUGAAAGAUGGUUCUGCUAUCACUCUUGGAUGGACCUGCGGUGCAUUAGCUAGUUGGUAAGGUAACGGCUUACCAAGGCAAUGAUGCAUAGCCGAGUUGAGAGACUGAUCGGCCACAUUGGGACUGAGACACGGCCCAAACUCCUACGGGAGGCAGCAGUAGGGAAUCUUCCACAAUGGACGAAAGUCUGAUGGAGCAACGCCGCGUGAGUGAAGAAGGGUUUCGGCUCGUAAAGCUCUGUUGGUAGUGAAGAAAGAUAGAGGUAGUAACUGGCCUUUAUUUGACGGUAAUUACUUAGAAAGUCACGGCUAACUACGUGCCAGCAGCCGCGGUAAUACGUAGGUGGCAAGCGUUGUCCGGAUUUAUUGGGCGUAAAGCGAGUGCAGGCGGUUCAAUAAGUCUGAUGUGAAAGCCUUCGGCUCAACCGGAGAAUUGCAUCAGAAACUGUUGAACUUGAGUGCAGAAGAGGAGAGUGGAACUCCAUGUGUAGCGGUGGAAUGCGUAGAUAUAUGGAAGAACACCAGUGGCGAAGGCGGCUCUCUGGUCUGCAACUGACGCUGAGGCUCGAAAGCAUGGGUAGCGAACAGGAUUAGAUACCCUGGUAGU
RNAcentral lists this ribosomal RNA (683 nucleotides) under uncultured bacterium. RNAcentral's name for it is "bacterial SSU rRNA". It matches the Rfam family "Bacterial small subunit ribosomal RNA", at positions 124 to 794 of the family's 1533-position model. The record is from RNAcentral.